GACGAACGCUGGCGGCGUGCUUAACACAUGCAAGUCGAACGGAAAGGCCCAGCUUGCUGGGUGCUCGAGUGGCGAACGGGUGAGUAACACGUGGGUGAUCUGCCCCUAACUUCGGGAUAAGCUUGGGAAACUGGGUCUAAUACCGGAUAGGACAAUCGUUUAGUGUCGGUUGUGGAAAGUUUUUUCGGUUAGGGAUGAGCCCGCGGCCUACCAGCUUGUUGGUGGGGUAAUGGCCUACCAAGGCGUCGACGGGUAGCCGGCCUGAGAGGGUGGACGGCCACAUUGGGACUGAGAUACGGCCCAGACUCCUACGGGAGGCAGCAGUGGGGAAUAUUGCACAAUGGGCGCAAGCCUGAUGCAGCGACGCCGCGUGGGGGAUGACGGCCUUCGGGUUGUAAACCUCUUUCGACAGGGACGAAGCUUUGGUGACGGUACCUGUAUAAGAAGCACCGGCUAACUACGUG
This 464-nucleotide ribosomal RNA is filed under the name uncultured bacterium. RNAcentral's name for it is "partial 16S ribosomal RNA". It matches the Rfam family "Bacterial small subunit ribosomal RNA", at positions 28 to 507 of the family's 1533-position model. The record is from RNAcentral.